GGGGAAUAUUGCGCAAUGGGGGCAACCCUGACGCAGCAACGCCGCGUGCAGGAAGAAGGUCUUCGGAUUGUAAACUGUUGUCGCAAGGGAAGAAGACAGUGACGGUACCUUGUGAGAAAGUCACGGCUAACUACGUGCCAGCAGCCGCGGUAAUACGUAGGUGACAAGCGUUGUCCGGAUUUACUGGGUGUAAAGGGCGCGUAGGCGGACUGUCAAGUCAGUCGUGAAAUACCGGGGCUUAACCCCGGGGCUGCGAUUGAAACUGACAGCCUUGAGUAUCGGAGAGGAAAGCGGAAUUCCUAGUGUAGCGGUGAAAUGCGUAGAUAUUAGGAGGAACACCAGUGGCGAAGGCGGCUUUCUGGACGACAACUGACGCUGAGGCGCGAAAGUGUGGGGAGCAAACAGGAUUAGAUACCCUGGUAGUCCACACCGUAAACGAUGGAUACUAGGUGUAGGAGGUAUCGACCCCUUCUGUGCCGCAGUUAACACAAUAAGUAUCCCACCUGGGGAGUACGACCGCAAGGUUGAAACUCAAAGGAAUUGACGGGGGCCCGCACAAGCAGUGGAGUAUGUGGUUUAAUUCGAAGCAACGCGAAGAACCUUACCUGGGCUUGACAUCCCUGGAAUCGAGUAGAGAUACUUGAGUGCCUUCGGGAAUCAGGUGACAGGUGGUGCAUGGUUGUCGUCAGCUCGUGUCGUGAGAUGUUGGGUUAAGUCCCGCAACGAGCGCAACCCCUAUUGUCAGUUGCCAUCAUUAAGUUGGGCACUCUGGCGAGACUGCCGGUGACAAAUCGGAGGAAGGUGGGGACGACGUCAAAUCAUCAUGCCCCUUAUGCCCAGGGCUACACACGUACUACAAUGGCCAAUAACAAAGUGCAGCGAAACCGUGAGGUGGAGCGAAUCACAAAACUCGGUCUCAGUUCAGAUUGCAGGCUGCAACUCGCCUGCAUGAAGUUGGAAUUGCUAGUAAUCGCGGAUCAGAAUGCCGCGGUGAAUACGUUCCCG
RNAcentral lists this ribosomal RNA (1005 nucleotides) under uncultured bacterium. Its description in RNAcentral is "bacterial SSU rRNA". It matches the Rfam family "Bacterial small subunit ribosomal RNA", at positions 356 to 1376 of the family's 1533-position model. The record is from RNAcentral.